CAGUAGCCGCGGUAAUACGAAGGGUGCAAGCGUUAAUCGGAUUUACUGGGCGUAAAGGGUGCGUAGGCGGUUAGUUAAGUCUGUCGUGAAAUCCCCGGGCUCAACCUGGGAAUGGCGAUGGAUACUGGCUGGCUGGAGUGUGUCAGAGGAUGGUGGAAUUUCCGGUGUAGAGGUGAAAUUCGUAGAUAUUGGGAAGAACGCCGGUGGCGAAGGCGGCAACCUGGUCCAUGACUGACGCUGAGGCGCGAAAGCGUGGGGAGCAAACAGGAUUAGAUACCCCGGUAGUCCCUGUCUCUUAUAA
Molecule: ribosomal RNA, 301 nt
Filed under: uncultured bacterium
Lineage: Bacteria
Description: partial 16S ribosomal RNA
Rfam family: Bacterial small subunit ribosomal RNA
Source: RNAcentral